Molecule: long non-coding RNA, 410 nt
Organism: Eriocheir sinensis (Chinese mitten crab)
Lineage: Eukaryota; Metazoa; Arthropoda; Malacostraca; Decapoda; Varunidae
Exons: 3
Source: RefSeq, a predicted model, not a curated record
GACCAGUGUGUCUUAUGCUAUGUCUCUUCAGGUAUGACUUUAAAGAGAAUUUUUUCCCACAGACUUCACAUUCAUGAUUUCUCUCACCAGUGUGUGUAAGGAUGUGUGUGUUGAGGUGACUCUUCUGAUUAAAUCUUUUCCCACAAACUUCACAUUCAUGAUUUCUCUCACCAGUGUGUGUAAGGAUGUGUGUGUUGAGGUGACUCUUCCGAUUAAAUCUUUUCCCACAAACUUCACAGUCAUGAUUUCUCUCACCAGUGUGUGUAAGGAUGUGUGUGUUGAGGUAACUCUUCUGAUUAAAUCUUUUCCCACAAACUUCACAUUCAUAAUUUCUUUCACCAGUGUGUAUAAGGAUGUGUCUGUUGAGGGUACUCUUCAGAUUAAAUCUUUUCCCACAAACUUCACAUUCA